GACGAACGCUGGCGGCGUGCCUAAUACAUGCAAGUCGAGCGGACGGAUGGGAGCUUGCUCCCAGACCGUCAGCGGCGGACGGGUGAGUAACACGUUGGCAACCUGCCUGUAAGACUGGGAUAACUCCGGGAAACCGGGGCUAAUACCGGAUAACUCUUUCCCUCACAUGAGGGAAAGCUGAAAGAUGGCAUCUCGCUAUCACUUACAGAUGGGCCCGCGGCGCAUUAGCUAGUUGGUGAGGUAACGGCUCACCAAGGCGACGAUGCGUAGCCGACCUGAGAGGGUGAUCGGCCACACUGGGACUGAGACACGGCCACGACUCCUACGGGAGGCAGCAGUAGGGAAUCUUACGCAAUGGAGGAAAGUCUGACGGAGCAACGCCGCGUGAGUGAUGAAGGUGUUCGGAUCGUAAAACUAUGUUGUCAGGGAAGAACAAGUACCGGAGUAACUGCCGGUACAUUGACGGUACCUGAACAGAAAGCCACGGCUAACUACGUG
RNAcentral lists this ribosomal RNA (498 nucleotides) under uncultured bacterium. RNAcentral describes it as "partial 16S ribosomal RNA". It matches the Rfam family "Bacterial small subunit ribosomal RNA", at positions 28 to 507 of the family's 1533-position model. The record is from RNAcentral.